GAAGAAGCACCGGCUAACUCCGUGCCAGCAGCCGCGGUAAUACGGAGGGUGCAAGCGUUAAUCGGAAUUACUGGGCGUAAAGCGCACGCAGGCGGUCUGUCAAGUCGGAUGUGAAAUCCCCGGGCUCAACCUGGGAACUGCAUUCGAAACUGGCAGGCUUGAGUCUUGUAGAGGGGGGUAGAAUUCCAGGUGUAGCGGUGAAAUGCGUAGAGAUCUGGAGG
This 221-nucleotide ribosomal RNA is filed under the name Salmonella enterica subsp. enterica serovar Javiana. Its description in RNAcentral is "partial 16S ribosomal RNA". It matches the Rfam family "Bacterial small subunit ribosomal RNA", at positions 484 to 704 of the family's 1533-position model. The record is from RNAcentral. Lineage: Bacteria; Pseudomonadati; Pseudomonadota; Gammaproteobacteria; Enterobacterales; Enterobacteriaceae.